This 205-nucleotide microRNA precursor is filed under the name Oryza sativa Indica Group (long-grained rice). RNAcentral describes it as "MIR812 microRNA precursor family". It matches the Rfam family "MIR812 microRNA precursor family". The record is from Rfam by way of RNAcentral. Lineage: Eukaryota; Viridiplantae; Streptophyta; Magnoliopsida; Poales; Poaceae.
AAUAUUUGACGCCCUUAACUUUUUAGCACAUGUUUAACCGUUCGUCUUAUUCAAAAAAUUUAAGUAAUUAUUAAUUCUUUUUCUAUCAUUUGAUUCAUUGUUAAAUAUAUUUUUAUGUAGGCAUAUAAUUUUACAUAUUUCACAAAAGUUUUUUAAUAAGACGAACGGUCAAACAUGUGCUAAAAAGUCAACGGUGUCAAACAUU